RNAcentral lists this ribosomal RNA (1402 nucleotides) under Sclerophrys camerunensis (Oban toad). RNAcentral's name for it is "partial 16S ribosomal RNA". It matches the Rfam family "Bacterial large subunit ribosomal RNA", at positions 157 to 2575 of the family's 2925-position model. The record is from RNAcentral. Lineage: Eukaryota; Metazoa; Chordata; Amphibia; Anura; Bufonidae.
GCCAAAAAUCUAGCCCAACAAACAUGAAUUUAACCAAAAUAACUAAUUUUAUUUAACAAACCAUUCUAUUCUUUGAGUAAAGGAGAUUGAAAAAUUUUUUUGGAGCUAUAACAAUAGUACCGCAAGGGAAUGAUGAAAUAUUUUAUGAAAACCUUCAAGCAAUAAAAAGUAAUGAUUAUCCCAUGUACCUUUUGCAUCAUGGUUUAACUAGUCUAAUCAAGCAAAAUGUGUUUUAGUUUGACCUCCCGAAACUAAGUGAGCUACUUCAAGGCAGCUGAAAGAGCUAACCCGUCCCUGUUGCAAAAGGGUGGGGGGACCUUCAAGUAGGGGUGACAGACCUACCGAACUUAGUGAUAGCUGGUUACUCAAGAAAAGGAUCUAAGUCCAACCUAAAAUUUCUUGUUAGUACAUUAAAACAACCCUCCAAAUUUUAGCGUAAUUCAAAUAAGGUACAGCCUAUUUGAAAUAGGAUACAACCUAAGCCAACGGAUAAUAUUAGCCUAUUAUACAACCAAGUGGGCCUAAAAGCAGCCAUCUUUAGAAUUGCGUCAAAGCUUAAUUGUUCACACGCCCAAUUACCUAAUUACCACACGAUUCCUCUACCAGUACUGAGUAAUUCUAUACUAUUAUAGAAAAUUUAAUGUUAAAACUAGUAACAAGAAGAAGACCUUCUCUGAAAUGCAAGUGUAAAACAGACAGGACAAACCACUGAUACUUAACAUAUUUGAGUCCAAAGUAAUAACUUACCAAGAAAAUAUUACUCAUAUUAAUGUUAACCUAACACAAGAGCAUUUUAAGAAAGAUUAAAAGAAAAAGAAGGAACUCGGCAAAUAAUAACCUCGCCUGUUUACCAAAAACAUCGCCUCUUGACCCACAUAAGAGGUCCAGCCUGCCCAGUGACUCUGUUCAACGGCCGCGGUAUCCUAACCGUGCGAAGGUAGCGUAAUCACUUGUUCUUUAAUUGUGGACUAGUAUGAAUGGCACCACGAGGGUUAUACUGUCUCCUUUUUCUAAUCAGUGAAACUAAUCUCCCCGUGAAGAAGCGGGGAUAUGACUAUAAGACGAGAAGACCCUAUGGAGCUUUAAACAUUUAUAGCAAUUACCAUACAACAUAUAACUUCCUGAACACUUAUUCUUAAGGUAGUAUGACUACAAGUUUUUGGUUGGGGUGACCACGGAGCAUAAAAUAACCUCCAUAUUGAAAGAAAAUUUUCUAAGCUAAAACCUACACGUUUAAGCAUCAGCACACUGACAUUCAUUGACCCAAUAUAUUUGAGCAACGAACCAAGUUACCCUAGGGAUAACAGCGCAAUCCACUUUAAGAGCCCUUAUCGACAAGUGGGUUUACGACCUCGAUGUUGGAUCAGGGUAUCCCAGUGGUGCAGCCGCUACUAAAGGUUCG